UCUCGCGAGAGCAAGCGGACCUCAUAAAGUGCGUCGUAGUCCGGAUUGGAGUCUGCAACUCGACUCCAUGAAGUCGGAAUCGCUAGUAAUCGUGGAUCAGAAUGCCACGGUGAAUACGUUCCCGGGCCUUGUACACACCGCCCGUCACACCAUGGGAGUGGGUUGCAAAAGAAGUAGGUAGCUUAACCUUCGGGAGGGCGCUUACCACUUUGUGAUUCAUGACUGGGGUGAAGUCGUAACAAGGUAACCGUAGGGGAACCUGCGGUUGGAUCACCUCCUUA
This 281-nucleotide ribosomal RNA is filed under the name Enterobacter hormaechei. RNAcentral's name for it is "partial 16S ribosomal RNA". It matches the Rfam family "Bacterial small subunit ribosomal RNA", at positions 1253 to 1533 of the family's 1533-position model. Lineage: Bacteria; Pseudomonadati; Pseudomonadota; Gammaproteobacteria; Enterobacterales; Enterobacteriaceae. The record is from RNAcentral.